GUCUCAUGGAGCCUAAACUUCUCCAGCGAGUAGGAAUUAGGGUCGAUUUCGGGAUCGUUCGACGGGUGGACAUUGGCAGAGGAAUUGCCGUAAGGCGCGAGAUUGGAUUUCAGAUUCUCGGAUUUUGCCAUGGAUUUUGGAUGACAGUUAUUUCGGUAUUUUGCUAAUUGCUAAAUCGCCAUAUUGGAAAUGUUUCCGAUGGGCGUUUGGGAAACUCUGGACUUUAUAUAGGCUUUGAUUCGAUGCUCGAGACCGAGUCAACUCUCUGAGUUACCGCAUCUACUUCGAGUUCCUAGAUUUCCUUUUUCCUCUUCUUUUCUAUGCUUUUUUCUCUUUUUUUUCC
RNAcentral lists this unclassified non-coding RNA (343 nucleotides) under Hevea brasiliensis (rubber tree). Lineage: Eukaryota; Viridiplantae; Streptophyta; Magnoliopsida; Malpighiales; Euphorbiaceae. The record is from RNAcentral.